AAUAGCUUUAGGGCUAGCCUCGAUUUAGUCUUAUGGAGGUAGAGCACUGAAUUUCCGCGGGGGCGUCAAAGCUUACCAAAGAAUAUCAAACUCCGAAUGCCAUGUAGAUGAUGAUCGGGAGUCAGACUGCACGAGAUAAGUUGGGCAGUCAAAAGGGAAAGAGCCCAGACCACCGGCUAAGGUCCCAAAGUGCGUGUUAAGUGGAAAAGGAUGUGGGAAUUCGAAGACAACUAGGAUGUUGGCUCAGAAGCAGCCAUACAUUCAAAGAGUGCGUAACAGCUCACUAGUCGAGAGUUCCUGCGCCGAAAAUGUCCGGGGCUGAAACACGACACCGAAGCCGUGGACUCGCAAUGCGAGUGGUAGAGGAGCAUUCUUAAAACCGACGAAGCUGUACCGAAAGGAGCAGUGGAGGGAUAAGAAGAGAGAAUGCCGGAAUGAGUAGCGAGAGAAAGGUGGGAAUCCUUUCGGCCGAAUAUCUAAGGUUUCCAGAGUAAAGCUGAUCUGCUCUGGGUAAGUCGGGGCCUAAGCACAGGUCGCAAGACGUAAGCGAUGGAUAACAGGUUUAGAUUCCUGUACCACGCAUUAUCAGAACUGUAGGGACGCAUGUGGAAAGCACGAGCCGGGAAUGGAAAGACCGGUACAAGCGGGGUAGGUGUACAAUAGGCAAAUCCGUUGUAUAAUCCGAAGACGUGAUGUGGAGCGAAAUAAAGUAGUGAAGCGUGUGAGCCAUGUGCCGAGAAAAGCUGCUAUUGUGUAAUGCGUGCCCGUACCGUAAACCGACACAGGUGGAUGAGGAGAGAAUCCUAAGGCCGACGGAAGAAGCAUUGUUAAGGAAUUCGGCAAAAUGACCCCGUAACUUCGGGAGAAGGGGUGCCUGCGAGAGCAGGCCGCAGAGAAUAGGCUCAAGCAACUGUUUAGCAAAAACACAGGUCUAUGCGAAACCGAAAGGUGAAGUAUAUGGGCUGACGCCUGCCCGGUGCUGGAAGGUUAAGAGGAGAGGUUAGCGCAAGCGAAGCUUUGAAUUUAAGCCCCAGUAAACGGCGGCCGUAACUAUAACGGUCCUAAGGUAGCGAAAUUCCUUGUCGGGUAAGUUCCGACCCGCACGAAAGGCGUAAUGAUUUGAGCACUGUCUCGACAAUGCAUCCGGUGAAAUUGAAGUACCAGUGAAGAUGCUGGUUACCCGCGCCAGGACGGAAAGACCCCAUGGAGCUUUACUCCAGUUUGAUACUGGGAUUCGGUACUGCAUGUACAGGAUAGGUGGGAGACGAAGAAGGAUGGACGCCAGUCUGUCCGGAGUCGCUGUUGGGAUACCACCCCUGUAGUACUGGGUUUCUAACCAGUUGCCAUGAUCUGGCAAUGGGACAAUGUCAGGCGGGGAGUUUGACUGGGGCGGUCGCCUCCGAAAGGGUAUCGGAGGCGCUCAAAGGUUCCCUCAGAAUGGUUGGAAACCAUUUGAAGAGUGCAAAGGCAGAAGGGAGCUUGACUGCGACACCGACGGGUGGAGCAGGUACGAAAGUAGGACUUAGUGAUCCGGUGGUAUAAAGUGGGAUUGCCAUCGCUCAACGGAUAAAAGCUACCCUGGGGAUAACAGGCUUAUCACUCCCAAGAGUUCACAUCGACGGAGUGGUUUGGCACCUCGAUGUCGGCUCAUCGCAUCCUGGGGCUGUAGCAGGUCCCAAGGGUUGGGCUGUUCGCCCAUUAAAGCGGUACGCGAGCUGGGUUCAGAACGUCGUGAGACAGUUCGGUCCCUAUCCGGCGCGGGCGGAGGAUAUUUGAGAGGAGCUGUCCUUAGUACGAGAGGACCGGGAUGGACGGACCACUGGUGUAUCUGCUGUCGACCAACGGCAUGGCAGAGUAGCCAAGUCCGGAAGGGAUAAACGCUGAAGGCAUCUAAGCGUGAAGCCCCCCUCAAGAUGAGAUAUCCCUCCUUCGGGAGUAAGACCCCUUGA
Molecule: ribosomal RNA, 1949 nt
Filed under: human gut metagenome
Description: bacterial LSU rRNA
Rfam family: Bacterial large subunit ribosomal RNA
Source: RNAcentral